This is a long non-coding RNA of Cololabis saira (Pacific saury), 265 nucleotides long. RefSeq lists it as uncharacterized. Lineage: Eukaryota; Metazoa; Chordata; Actinopteri; Beloniformes; Belonidae. The record is from RefSeq and is a predicted model, not a curated record. The transcript is spliced from 3 exons.
UCCAUGUUUGUUGGCGUCUUAUGAAGAUCCCACGCAAAUACUCAUGAACAUAAUCGACCCUCCAUCCUCACCGGUGUCCUCUCUGACAAAUUCAGAGGAAAGCACAGAGAACACUUUGGAAGACGCCAGCACAUCGGCCUCAAGCUCUGCCUCACCAGCUGGAAGAGGAAGCUGGAAGCUUCAGGCAUCAGGUCCACUUUCCCCCCGAUCCCCAAAAAAAAGAAACUCUCUAUGCAGGACUUCCUUCAAGCUGAGGCCGCCAAAG